GGGGAUUUAGCUCAGUGGUAGAGCACUUGCCUAGCAAGUGCGAGGCCCUGGGUUCAGUCCCCA
RNAcentral lists this transfer RNA (63 nucleotides) under Rattus norvegicus (Norway rat). It matches the Rfam family "tRNA". Rfam says of the family: Transfer RNA (tRNA) molecules are approximately 80 nucleotides in length. Their secondary structure includes four short double-helical elements and three loops (D, anti-codon, and T loops). Lineage: Eukaryota; Metazoa; Chordata; Mammalia; Rodentia; Muridae. The record is from Rfam by way of RNAcentral.